AGCAGCCGCGGUAAUUCCAGCUCCAAUAGCGUAUAUUAAAGUUGUUGCAGUUAAAAAGCUCGUAGUUGAAUUUCGGGAUCAGUACGUUGGUCGUGCCUUCGGUACGUACUGGCGUUACUGGUUCCUACCUUCUGAGGAACCGUCAUGUCAUUAAUUUGGUGUGGUGGGAAAUCAGGACUGUUACUUUGAAAAAAUUAGAGUGUUUAAAGCAGGCUCGCGCUUGAAUACAUUAGCAUGGAAUAAUGAAAUAGGACGUUCGAUCCUAUUUUGUUGGUUUCUAGGAUUGACGUAAUGAUUAAUAGGGAUAGUUGGGGGCAUUAGUAUUCAAUUGUCAGAGGUGAAAUUCUUGGAUUUAUUGAAGACUAACUACUGCGAAAGCAUUUGCCAAGGAUGUUUUCAUUAAUCAAGAACGAAAGUUAGGGGAUCGAAGACGAUCAGAUACCGUCGUAGUCUUAACCAUAAACUAUGCCGACUAGGGAUCGGAUGAUGUUAUUUUUAAUGACUCA
Molecule: ribosomal RNA, 506 nt
Filed under: Glomus sp. Glo2
Lineage: Eukaryota; Fungi; Glomeromycota; Glomeromycetes; Glomerales; Glomeraceae
Description: SSU rRNA
Rfam family: Eukaryotic small subunit ribosomal RNA
Source: RNAcentral